RNAcentral lists this ribosomal RNA (157 nucleotides) under Paenibacillus sp. ov031. Its description in RNAcentral is "partial 16S rRNA. Bacterial SSU". It matches the Rfam family "Bacterial small subunit ribosomal RNA", at positions 1 to 148 of the family's 1533-position model. Lineage: Bacteria; Bacillati; Bacillota; Bacilli; Caryophanales; Paenibacillaceae. The record is from RNAcentral.
CUUUAUUGGAGAGUUUGAUCCUGGCUCAGGACGAACGCUGGCGGCAUGCCUAAUACAUGCAAGUCGAGCGGACUUGAAGAGAAGCUUGCUUCUCUGAUGGUUAGCGGCGGACGGGUGAGUAACACGUAGGCAACCUGCCCUCAAGUUUGGGACAACU